This 497-nucleotide ribosomal RNA is filed under the name uncultured bacterium. RNAcentral describes it as "partial 16S ribosomal RNA". It matches the Rfam family "Bacterial small subunit ribosomal RNA", at positions 28 to 507 of the family's 1533-position model. The record is from RNAcentral.
GAUGAACGCUGGCGGCGUGCCUAAUACAUGCAAGUCGAGCGAACGGACGAGAAGCUUGCUUCUCUGAUGUUAGCGGCGGACGGGUGAGUAACACGUGGAUAACCUACCUAUAAGACUGGGAUAACUUCGGGAAACCGGAGCUAAUACCGGAUAAUAUUUUGAACCGCAUGGUUCAAAAGUGAAAGACGGUCUUGCUGUCACUUAUAGAUGGAUCCGAGCUGCAUUAGCUAGUUGGUAAGGUAACGGCUUACCAAGGCAACGAUGCAUAGCCGACCUGAGAGGGUGAUCGGCCACACUGGAACUGAGACACGGUCCAGACUCCUACGGGAGGCAGAAGUAGGGAAUCUUCCGCAAUGGGCGAAAGCCUGACGGAGCAACGCCGCGUGAGUGAUGAAGGUCUUCGGAUCGUAAAACUCUGUUAUUAGGGAAGAACAUAUGUGUAAGUAACUGUGCACAUCUUGACGGUACCUAAUCAGAAAGCCACGGCUAACUACGUG